GAAAUGCGAUAAGUAAUGUGAAUUGCAGAAUUCAGUGAAUCAUCGAAUCUUUGAACGCACAUUGCGCCCGCCAGUAUUCUGGCGGGCGUGCCUGUUCGAGCGUCAUUACAACCCUCAGGCCCCCGGGCCUGGCGUUGGGGAUCGGCGGAAGCCCCCUGCGGGCACAACGCCGUCCCCCAAAUACAGUGGCGGUCCCGCCGCAGCUUCCAUUGCGUAGUAGCUAACACCUCGCAACUGGAGAGCGGCGCGGCCACGCCGUAAAACACCCAACUUCUGAAUGUUGACCUCGAAUCAGGUAGGAAUACCCGCUGAACUUAAGC
This 320-nucleotide unclassified non-coding RNA is filed under the name plant metagenome. RNAcentral's name for it is "partial contains 5.8S ribosomal RNA, internal transcribed spacer 2, and large subunit ribosomal RNA". The stretch from base 1 to 105 matches the Rfam family "5.8S ribosomal RNA", at positions 50 to 154 of the family's 154-position model. The record is from RNAcentral.